UACGUAGGGGGCAAGCGUUGUCCGGAGUUACUGGGCGUAAAGCGCACGCAGGCGGUCGGCUGCGUCGGUGGUGACAGUCCUCGGCUUACCUGAGGAAGCGCUGCCGAAACGAGCCGACUUGAGGGCCAGAGAGGGAGACGGAACUCCGGGUGGAGCGGUGAAAUGCGUAGAGAUCCGGAAGAACACCAAAGGCGAAGGCAGUCUCCUGGCUGGUUCCUGACGCUCAGGUGCGAAAGCUAGGGGAGCAAACAGG
RNAcentral lists this ribosomal RNA (253 nucleotides) under uncultured bacterium. RNAcentral describes it as "partial 16S ribosomal RNA". It matches the Rfam family "Bacterial small subunit ribosomal RNA", at positions 524 to 776 of the family's 1533-position model. The record is from RNAcentral.